GGCCUACUUUUUUUUGUGCGGGUGCAUGCAUGUCGAGCGGUUAGGCCCUUCCGGGUACACGAGCGGCGAACGGGUGAGUAACACGUGGGUGAUCUGCCCUGCACUCUGGGAUAAGCCUGGGAAACUGGGUCUAAUACCGGAUAUGACCUCUGGUUGCAUGACCGGGGGUGGAAAGAUUUAUCGGUGCAGGAUGGGCCCGCGGCCUAUCAGCUUGUUGGUGGGGUAAUGGCCUACCAAGGCGACGACGGGUAGCCGGCCUGAGAGGGCGACCGGCCACACUGGGACUGAGACACGGCCCAGACUCCUACGGGAGGCAGCAGUGGGGAAUAUUGCACAAUGGGCGGAAGCCUGAUGCAGCGACGCCGCGUGAGGGAUGACGGCCUUCGGGUUGUAAACCUCUUUCGACAGGGACGAAGCGCAAGUGACGGUACCUGUAGAAGAAGCACCGGCCAACUACGUGCCAGCAGCCGCGGUAAUACGUAGGGUGCGAGCGUUGUCCGGAAUUACUGGGCGUAAAGAGCUUGUAGGCGGCUUGUCGCGUCGAUCGUGAAAACUUGGGGCUCAACCCCAAGCUUGCGGUCGAUACGGGCAGGCUUGAGUACUGCAGGGGAGACUGGAAUUCCUGGUGUAGCGGUGAAAUGCGCAGAUAUCAGGAGGAACACCGGUGGCGAAGGCGGGUCUCUGGGCAGUAACUGACGCUGAGAAGCGAAAGCGUGGGUAGCGAACAGGAUUAGAUACCCUGGUAGUCCACGCCGUAAACGGUGGGCGCUAGGUGUGGGUUUCCUUCCACGGGAUCCGUGCCGUAGCUAACGCAUUAAGCGCCCCGCCUGGGGAGUACGGCCGCAAGGCUAAAACUCAAAGGAAUUGACGGGGGCCCGCACAAGCGGCGGAGCAUGUGGAUUAAUUCGAUGCAACGCGAAGAACCUUACCUGGGUUUGACAUACACCGGAAACCUGCAGAGAUGUAGGCCCCCUUGUGGUCGGUGUACAGGUGGUGCAUGGCUGUCGUCAGCUCGUGUCGUGAGAUGUUGGGUUAAGUCCCGCAACGAGCGCAACCCUUGUCCUGUGUUGCCAGCAAGUGAUGUUGGGGACUCGCAGGAGACUGCCGGGGUCAACUCGGAGGAAGGUGGGGACGACGUCAAGUCAUCAUGCCCCUUAUGUCCAGGGCUUCACACAUGCUUCAAUGGCCGGUACAGAGGGCUGCGAUACCGUGAGGUGGAGCGAAUCCCUUAAAGCCGGUCUCAGUUCGGAUCGGGGUCCGCAACUCGACCCCGGAAGUUGGAGUCGCUAGUAAUCGCAGAUCAGCAAGCCCCAGAAGUA
RNAcentral lists this ribosomal RNA (1319 nucleotides) under Nocardia sp. QGD102. RNAcentral describes it as "bacterial SSU rRNA". It matches the Rfam family "Bacterial small subunit ribosomal RNA", at positions 26 to 1368 of the family's 1533-position model. The record is from RNAcentral. Lineage: Bacteria; Bacillati; Actinomycetota; Actinomycetes; Mycobacteriales; Nocardiaceae.